UGAAGUCGCGGUAGAUUCUUCCAUAAUUCCCCACACGUCCGUUGCUCUUCUAGAUCUCUUAAUUUCCUUCGAUUCCUUCCUCCAUGUUCUUCUAAUUCCGAAACAAAUUGCUACUUGAGAGCGAGAUCUAUUGAUUGGAGGGGCUAAUUGGAGAUUAAUCCUUCCCAUAAUUUCAUAUUUUUUCCCUACAUGCGCCUUCUUACCCGCCGGAGACGCUUGAGCGCCCGGCUGGUGAUUGGAAAUCUUCACCCUAGCUUCUCAACAGAUUGCUGAUCUCUAACUCUAAUUACAUCCAAUAUUGCCCUCUCCCUUCUCUCUCCCUUUCUUUCCUCUGUCAUUCACGAGCCUACCCCCGCGUCGUCCCCCGGCCACCCUCCCCCAAGAACGUCAUAUCCCAUGCGCCCGGCCUUGUUUAUCACACUCCCUCAAUCUCUCCCUUCCACCGGCAGCUUUCCCAGCAACCUUUUCCUUCCUGUCGCCGUCAUCGGUCCCCAUCGUCGCGACCGCCGCCUCCACCGGGAAGGCUGAACCUCGGUAAAAAGUUGGCUCAUUGUUCGCUGCCACAGCUAUCAUCCUCCAAGUGAUUUUUGCGGCCUUUCUCAUUUAUGAGUGUUGGCCGCUGAAGAAGAUGGGAGAAGGCAUAAAACGAGAGUCUUUUCUUGAUUGUGGGCUGUAACGGUGAUUCCGAGAUGUCUUUUUGUGGCUUGAAAUGAGAUCCUAUUCGACUACAAGGUGGAGAGGGUCAAGAUUGCAGGUAUAAAAUGCUAUUUCCUUGAUUUCAAAUGGAAGCUGUGGCAUAUUUGGAUUGCUGGUUAGUCGCCAUGCUGAAUUUGAAAGUUGUCCUUCUCAAGUUUGGCAGCAGAGGAUGGAGCUUCUCCAAUGUUCAAUGUAAAAGUAGAAAAUAUUACUGGCGCAACAUCUACAUUCAAGACGAUGAGCAGAUGGGGCACUUGCUUCUUAUCAUUGAUGAAUUUGUAGUUACUCCCACCAAGUAGUUGCCUCGUGAUUUAGCUUUUAGGCAAACAACAUUAUCUCUUUGUUAUUCGGCAUUUCCAUGUACUCAAAUAAGUUUUCUUGUUAUUGGGCAUUGAAAUGAUGUGUGUCAAAUUUCAAAUUGAAUUCCAAUUGGUGAUGAUGACUAGGGUUUGGUUUGCACAUUGGGUAUGUCGUGUAUCCUUAAAGGCCCAAAGUGGGUCUCCACUUUGGGGUCUAAAUCAGACUCAGAAAGGUCAGGCCUCAGUUGCAGUGGCUUAAAGAAUAUGACCUAGAACUUCAAUAAUUUUCAUUUCUUCUUGCAUGCAGGGGCCAUUGUUGAUCUUGGAGCUUCCUUAGUGAAACUUGGUUGGAGUUUUACUAAAGGAUAGUAGUCUCACAAGGUAGUUGGUUAGUAAUAGUUUCUUCAAUCACAACAACAAGGAUCUUCUACAUGAUUAAAGAAAGGAAAUUGAAUUUUGUUGUGUUGGAUGCUUGAUGGGCCUUUACACUGAGAUCUAAGCUUAUGUUUUGAUAAUCAUAUCUGCCUUUGUCGCCUAUCAUGCUGGAGCUCCAAGCUCUAAUGCUAACCUGACGCAACAAAGUUGUAAAUUAAGGAAGAUGAUGCAUUGAAGAAGCAUAAACCUUAGCGAAGUGGCAAAAACUUGGAAGAGAUGUUUAUUCCCUUCUUGGAACAAAAACUAAGUUACAAACCCUUUGCAUACCAUAGUAGCAAUAUUUCUAAGCUAAGACAAAACAAGAAUUCUCUUAGUAAAAUAAAAAGGGCUAAACAUGAUUAGCAUAACCCAAAAAGGAAUGGCAAAGCAAUUUGUGUGAGUUGUGGAGUUGAGUUGUGGGUGCUGCUAUAUGUUCUGGGGAGUUGAUUUGACAAUCGUAUCAAUCACCCAUCUUAGGAGUGUUCUAGCAUGAGUCUGCUUGCUUUGGUGUCCCUAAAGUAACUUUAACUAUUGCAUCAAAUUUCGUCUCAUUAUUUAACAAUUCAACUUUGCUAUGCUUAAGGGUUCUUACAAAUUGGAGAGCAUUUAGUGGAUUCAAAAUGUUGGGAAAUUUGUUUGUAUAUCAUCAAAAUAUUUCUUAUUUACAAAACUAACACCUAAGCUUUUAAAAUGAAUCGUUGAGCUUCUGUAUUUUUUGCAUGAUGCUAACAUAUCAUUAAGAAUUUAACAAAUUUUUUGUCAAUAAAAUUUGAUAGUUUUAUUGUGCCCUUCAAGAUUUAGGCAAUAUUAUUAUAAUUAGAAGAACUACGUGUUUGGUGUUAAAUAAGAAAUUGUCCAAUUUUUUUUUUAUUUAGUUCACAUUAGCUUCGCAUUAGAAUCUAUAGGAAAAAUUCAGUCGUUUUGACUUUUGUCUUGGGGCAUAUAGGGGAAGAGGGGAACUAUGCUAUAUUGUUAUUUGUCUCUCUUUUAACUAAGCAAUAUUAUUAUGUUUUUCUCUUUUCUUUCCAUUUAGUUUUACUUAGUUGAAUUUAGCUUGGCUCGUCUUUUUUUCAUUUUAUUAUUGAUCCAUAGUAUUUGGGAGAAUUGAUGAUGAUAAUUGAUUUAUAAUUACUAGCUUAUUUUAGCCUAGGAAAAGAUCUAGGAGAAUGCAAUCCAUAACAAGCUAUUAUUGAAAGACAAAAAAUCCUACAUUAAUGGUUACAAUUGUGGAUUACGGGUGAAACUUGGGUGUUUGUAAUCAAUUUCCAGAGCUAUUGACAACAAUAUGAUAGGAAACACUUGGAUUCACAAGUGUUCCUAGCCAAAAUCAGUAAACUGCAGCAGAUUUUUUGCUGUCCACAGCAGGAAACAACCCAAAAACAGAGAAAAACAGGAGUUUUACACGAGAAAUCUGAGAAAAAAC
Molecule: long non-coding RNA, 2832 nt
Organism: Dendrobium catenatum
Lineage: Eukaryota; Viridiplantae; Streptophyta; Magnoliopsida; Asparagales; Orchidaceae
Exons: 2
Source: RefSeq, a predicted model, not a curated record